GGAGAGGUGGCCGAGUGGUUUAAGGCACACCCUUGCUAAGGGUGCGUAUGGGAAACCGUACCGUGGGUUCGAAUCCCACCCUCUCCGCCA
RNAcentral lists this transfer RNA (90 nucleotides) under Pseudomonadota bacterium. RNAcentral's name for it is "Proteobacteria bacterium (wastewater metagenome) tRNA-Ser". It matches the Rfam family "tRNA". Rfam says of the family: Transfer RNA (tRNA) molecules are approximately 80 nucleotides in length. Their secondary structure includes four short double-helical elements and three loops (D, anti-codon, and T loops). Further hydrogen bonds mediate the characteristic L-shaped molecular structure. tRNAs have two regions of fundamental functional importance: the anti-codon, which is responsible for specific mRNA codon recognition, and the 3' end, to which the tRNAs corresponding amino acid is attached (by aminoacyl-tRNA synthetases). tRNAs cope with the degeneracy of the genetic code in two manners: having more than one tRNA (with a specific anti-codon) for a particular amino acid; and 'wobble' base-pairing, i.e. permitting non-standard base-pairing at the 3rd anti-codon position. The record is from RNAcentral. Lineage: Bacteria; Pseudomonadati; Pseudomonadota.